This 253-nucleotide ribosomal RNA is filed under the name uncultured bacterium. Its description in RNAcentral is "partial 16S ribosomal RNA". It matches the Rfam family "Bacterial small subunit ribosomal RNA", at positions 524 to 776 of the family's 1533-position model. The record is from RNAcentral.
UACGUAGGGUGCGAGCGUUGUCCGGAAUUAUUGGGCGUAAAGAGCUCGUAGGCGGCUUGUCGCGUCGGAUGUGAAAGCCCGGGGCUUAACCCCGGGUCUGCAUUCGAUACGGGCAGGCUAGAGUGUGGUAGGGGAGAUCGGAAUUCCUGGUGUAGCGGUGAAAUGCGCAGAUAUCAGGAGGAACACCGGUGGCGAAGGCGGUUCUCUGGGAAUAUCCUGACGCUGAGGGGCGAAAGUGUGGGGAGCGAACAGG